RNAcentral lists this ribosomal RNA (431 nucleotides) under uncultured bacterium. Its description in RNAcentral is "partial 16S ribosomal RNA". It matches the Rfam family "Bacterial small subunit ribosomal RNA", at positions 29 to 505 of the family's 1533-position model. The record is from RNAcentral.
AAUGAACGCUGGCGGCAUGCCUAAUACAUGCAAGUCGAACGAGACCUUCGGGUCUAGUGGCGCACGGGGGCGUCACGCGUGGGAAGAUGCACUUGGGGUUGGAAUAACUCUCCGACAGGGGUGCUAUCACCGGAUAAUAUCUUCUGCCCAAAAAUUUAUCGCCUUUGGUUGGGCUCGCGUGGGAUUAGCUUUUUGAUGGGGUAAAAGCCGACCCAGGCGAUGAUCCAUAGCUGGUCUGAGAGGAUGUUCAGCCACCCUGGGACUGCGACACGGCCCAGACUCCUACGGGAGGCAGCAGUGGGGCAGAUUGGACCCUGGUCGAAGGCCUGAUCCUUCAAUUCCGCAUGAGUGAUGAAGGCGUUAGGGUUGUAAAGCACUUUUACACGGACUGAUAGUGACUGCCCAGGGAGAAUACCCUCCGGAUCACCCCG